This is a long non-coding RNA of Pogoniulus pusillus (Red-fronted tinkerbird), 2546 nucleotides long. RefSeq lists it as uncharacterized. The transcript has 2 exons. The record is from RefSeq and is a predicted model, not a curated record. NCBI's taxonomy places the organism in Eukaryota, Metazoa, Chordata, Aves, Piciformes, Lybiidae.
UUGGGUGCGUCUCUGCCACCAUCGCCUGCCAGCAGCCUCCUGAGAGUGACAGCUCUGCUACCAGCCUCCAGCACUGGAAUGUGUUCUGGAAAGAAAAGGCUGCAGGUUCUACCCAGAAAUGGGGAUGAAGUGUAUGAAAGUUGGCAAAAAGAAGAGAGAGGGGGGCUGGCUGAACCAAAGAACAGCCGAGAAAGACCAAGAGGUCCUUUCUUUAUAUCCCUGUUAUCUGUUAAUUCAGCUCCUGGAGGGGAGAGGCUGACUGUGCCCGGGGUUAGGUGAGGCCAGCCUGGCACAGCAUCUCCAAACCCGAGUGUAAUUCUUUGGGACCAGAAAGUUGCUGAAUAUCAGAAUCUCUGGUGAUAUAUGCAGUGCCGAGCUGGAGAGGGACGCAGUGGAUUUAUAAUGCAGCAGGCAGAGGAAGCACAGAUGUGUUGAGAGAGAGAGAUACUAAUUGCUUACAUAUUUAAAACAGCGUCUUUAGUCUGAAUGGGAGGCACCAUUAAGCAAAACAGAGCUAUUAACUGGGGCCACUUGGAAAGCUGCCAUUUCCCUUUCUGUGCACAGCUUUUUUUGCAUCAAUAAAAGGUACCUUGCUCGGGGUGCGAUGUUGCCGGCGUUGUGUGGGCGCUAACCCAGGACACCGAGGUGCUCUGCGCUGGGUUGCCAAUCACAGUGGCGAUGAGCAAGAACGGAAGCCUCGGAUGCCUCGGUGGAGGUUGAGCAGUAAGUGGGGGAAUCGUUCAGUGCACAGUGGGAGCUGGUUUGCCUGCAUGAGGACCCUCCCAGGGGCAGGGACAGCCUAUCUGCUGGGAUGCUGCUUCUGCUGAGGAGCAGCUUGUCUUAAGAGACAUGCUGGGAUUUGACUCUGCUCCUGCAUAAGUCGGUGGAAAUGCUGCUGUUACCUGGAAUGAAAAAAUGCCUCCUUGCAGGGUGAGCUGAGAGUUGAGCUUGAUGCCCUUCACUGGAGAGCUUCAGCGCUAGGACUUUGCACAAAGAGCUCUCUGAAUCCUGUACUUGGUGUCAUCUGUUGCUUUAUUCCUCUGAAAGAUGUAGGGUCUGAGAGAAAGGUCAUGCCUCAGCUGAUCAGGCUUCAAACAGGGGACCAGGACCUUGAAGUACAGUCGGGUUUGAGUGAGGAGGCAGCAGGCUCUAUAGAAGAAGCAGGAGCAGUGCAGCUUGCUGAAAUAUUUGGUAAUCAAUUAACGAGGUGGUGCAACAUCACCGAGUGUGACUCUGCAAUGAAAACCCAGAGAUCUUGUUGCAUUGCUGAGGAAUAAAUUGUGCAUGAGCUGGAGUUUUACCCUAGUGAUAGAAACGAAUGAGUAGAGUAGGGAGUGAUUGUGAGAGAGGACAUUUACUCUGCCUUCACUCCAAGUCCAUCCUUUGCAGCAUCCUGGCUGGGUUUGGGUGAGAAGGAGACAACGCACCCCAGUUUAAUGCGUUGCUCAUUAUCCUGAAGAUCUGCAAACUGCCUUGGAACAAUUGCUGUAGUUCCUCAAGUGUCAAGAGCCGUUCUGCACAUUCCGUUCUCUCUGAAUCCUCACAUGAUUCAGCUUAAGCAGGUGCAUAAAUGUUGCAGGAGUGGGUCCGUGAGCAUCCAGAGCCUCAAUUUUCUGUCUCAUUUGUAAGACGAGUUGCAGGAAGAUGAGAGCAAACUGUCACAAAUAGACUGUUGUGGUAGAGUAAUAUGCCUGAGACAGAAUAAAAGGCUAUUAUAUCUUCUAGUCCCUAAUAAUUUGAGGAAAUAAUUCUGUAUCCAGAACAUUUGCAGUAAAUAUAAUAAGGUGUACUUAAAAAAAACAAACCCAAACUACAAAGUCUUAGCAUAAUGGCAAAAAGUAACUGCACCAGAACAAUAUUGCAUGUUGCUACUUUGAAGGGAGAAGAGAAAAAGAGUGGCAUUUUUCCAUUUGCCUUUGACCUUUGAGAAAUAUCAGGAGUGUGUAAUAGCCACAUUCACCAACAAUAGCUCAGAGGAUUCAGGGAAAUGAGAGUUAAACACCUGGGGACAUUUACAAACAACUGGCAGAGAGGCAAUGAAUGUAAGAUGCCAGUAUGAAAGGCACAGAUACACAGAGUGCAAAAAUAAUGCAUAUUUAAAAUGCUUCUAAGCCGUGUGAGAAGCAUCACUGAGAAAGGUCCUGAGCAGCAAAGCUUCUGAACAAGCAAAGGAGGGGCAGAGAUCAUCACCCAUGAGAAGACCUGGUGCAGAGAGAGGUCUCAGGGGACCUUUCUCCAUCAACUCUGUAAUGCUGCAGAACACAUAUAACCUUUAUCAUAUCUGUCAGCCCAAAUGAACAAAGUUUACAGCCCAUUUUAUGCAGCUAAACAGUUCCCUGAUGUGAUGAACGGGUGUGACAAACGGGAGCCUGGAUUAAUCAGGGCUGCAAUGUUUCAUUGCCUCAUUAUUGGCAAAAAAAACCCCUCUGGCCCUAGGUGCUUUCUCUAGUGAAACCCUUGGUCCCUCCUGUGAAAGUCAAACAACCCCCAAAGGGGCAUGCUGUGUCUUUUCCUCCCCAGUAAGUUCAUCAGCAGGAAGGAGGGAU